This is a long non-coding RNA of Olea europaea var. sylvestris, 4506 nucleotides long. RefSeq lists it as uncharacterized. The transcript has 2 exons. NCBI's taxonomy places the organism in Eukaryota, Viridiplantae, Streptophyta, Magnoliopsida, Lamiales, Oleaceae. The record is from RefSeq and is a predicted model, not a curated record.
CUUGAUCAGGGUCUCUUUUUAGAUAAAGGAUUUUAGACAUUUGAUCACAUCUCCACUCGUGAUCCAAAUGUCACACUCCACAUCCUUGGUACAAACCACCAUGUACCCCUAGACAUCUGUACUCUACCUUACCAAAAAGACAUCCAACUCACUACUAAUGCAUCUCAAGCUCACUAUGGCAAAUCAACACCUUUCGGUGACCACAAAGGUUACUCCAAUCACCAAAGCUCCAAAAAAUCCACAAAGAAAAUGGCGAAGGUGGCAAUCACAAAGAAAAAUUGAAGAAAGAGUCGGUUACUUCACAACACUCACAAAGAAGCCUCACAAAGAGGAAGAAUAUAACCCUAACAUGGCUGCAUCACAUAAUCUUACAAACCACACAGGCUCACAAAGAUAAAGGAGAGAAAUGGCUGCCCAACUUGCUUCUCACUACCACACUCUCACACCACUCACAGAGCAAAUAGAGUACGCCAUAAAACUUAACGCACUAUGCAUAUAAACAUAUUACACAAAGUAAUAAAUCACUCUAAUUCAUGCAAUUACACACAUCAAACAUAUUGAAAGUGUAACAUCAACAUUGCAAUAGAAUUAAGUGAUCAUAUACAUGUAGAAAGGAUUACACACAGAUGCGAUGCAGUAACCAAGUUUAUUCUCUCAAUAAAAAUAAUUAGGAUCACUACUCGACCCUAAAGUCACAUUCACCUCAUCUCUAUCCUUUUAUUAUCAUCCUAGGACAUUCUCUUUUAAUUAUGCCCAAAUUUUACCACAGUUAAAACAUAUUUUAUUUUUGCACUUGCCUUAGACCUAUACAUGCCAACAAUAUCAAAUAAUGACCACAAGCAAAGUACUGACACAUAAUUCACACAGAACAGUCAAGUAAAUUUUUCUGAGGUCUCAUGCAAUUCUAUCGGUGUAUUGGUGACAAAUUCACAUGGCAAUUAAUUAACAUGUAAUUCCUAUGUCUAACAACAGGCAAUGGUUACCACUUCACGGUAACCCCAAACCUAACGUCACAUUAGACGAUGACUUUUAACGCUAAAAAUAAAUAAUUAACCUACACAUUUAUUUUAACUGCUAAUAAUAAAAAACAAAGAAUACGAUACCCAGCGGACCACGUCUGAAGGUUCGUAAUUUAUGAGACAUGCGAAUUUAAUACUUUAGGACUACCACUAUUCGUCCUAAAGUCUCUGAAAACUGUAGCAACCAAAAAAUCACGAUCAAGUCCCAAACGUCCAAGAACAACGCUGUCCAGAUUCUACUGUGUACCCUGAAAUAGAAAACUUUCAACACGAAAAAUGUCAGAAAUAAUAUGAGGAACAAACUGCCUGAAGGGACCUCCUUGAAAUUCCUCACGUCGCCGUUGAUUGACAUGCGCCGUCCUACAGGGUUCUUCUCCAUCUGCACGUUACGCCAGUGAUCUUUAUUUUCUCAAACUCCUUCUGGAUUGAUCAGAAAAUGCGAAAAAAAGAGACUAAUUUUGACAGUUUUUGGACAGCUUCUUUAAUCUGAUUUCUGCUGCGAUUUCUGGACUUUUUGGUAUGUUUCACGAGCCAAAACCACCACCUUGAAGCUCUGAUACCAAUUGUUGUGGAAGCUCUCUUGAAAGAUCUUCAAAUCGGUGAUUUUCGGGCUCAGUCCAAUGCACCUUUCUCAAUCAACAACCAGUCCAAUCGACUCCAAACCACAACCAAUUGAUCACUUUGGUUGCUAUUCAAUCUUACCCACGUAGGACAAGAAAUGAUGAUGAUUUGAGGCCACAAAGGCUAGGAGAAGAUAGCACUAAGGUAUACUAUGAAGGAAUCACCAAUUACACACGUUAUAACCAAAUAUAUACUUUAGGGUUAGGCUUUAAGUUGGACCAUUAAAGGGGUAAACGGGCCAAAAUUCAAGCCAUUCAUAGGGGAAUACAAUUGGGCUGGGUGUAGCUCAUGGACUUGGUUGUUGGACUUAUUUCAUUCAUCGACUUAUGCCUAUGAAAUAAUAUUAACCCACGUUAAUAUUAUAGCCCGAAAUUUAUUAGGUAUCAAAAACCCAACACUCUUUUAUAUAAAGUUUACAUGAAACUUCUAGUCCACACGUUUUCUUAGAGAUUUCUAGACCAUAUAUUUUGAACUAGAUACUUUUCUAGAAUAUUUUAGAUAGAGUUUUCAAAACCACAUAAUCUUCUUGACACAUGACAAAAUUUAUUACCACAUCUUGUACUUAGAUAUUUACGUAGAUUUUUCUAGACAUUUUUAUAGAAAUGUUAGGUUUUGUUGGACUUUUGAAUUAGGUUUAUGAUUAAAACCUUUAAGCCCAUAUUACUUAGUCCAAAAUCAAGUUUACUUCUCAACAUAAAAUGGCCCGAUGUGAUCAUAAGAAAUUUGAUUUUAUUGUAAGGGAAAAUUACAUCUAUACAGGUGUUUGAAUAUUGAAUUUCAAAAAUAAGGUUCAAGAUUUAUUUAUGCAAAAAUCAGGUAACAAUUUUAUAUUUUAAUAAAUAUAAUAAUAUUAAUAAAUUUCAAUUAUAUAAUCUCACCAUAUUCCAUCCACCCAAUUAAAACUCUAACUAUUUUCUUCCCUAAUUUUCCUCUUCUUCUCGUCGUCUCUCUCUGUCUCUUUAUCAUCUCCGUCACAUAUGGUCGCCGUCAUUAGAGACCACAUCGGAGCUCGUCCCUAGGAGCAACGAGCGGCAUGCAAUUCCAGCAUCUGUACCUUUAUGCCUGAAUUUGUGGUUUUGUUGAUGUAUACAAAUCGGGGCGAUUCGUGGUUUCACCGAUGCCUUUGUGUUUGCUUGGCUUCUACGUGGAUGUGGUGACGGUGACGACAUGCUCAUAUCCCUGUUGAAGCAAUUCUACGUCAUGAUUCAGAGUUGAAGCCGGUGGGUCAGCCUAUGUAUGGAAUUUCAAUGUUUGAUAAGGCGGUGGUGUAGGUAUUUUUAUCUAUAGGUGGUUAUCUGAUGUGCAGGCGACGGUUGUGUGGUAAUGGUGGUUUUGUCGUUGUUGUUGGCGGCAGUUAUGGAAGUGUUGUGUUGGGGGGGCAGAUUUGUGUGUGGUGUGGUGUAGGUGAUGGUUGUGUAAUGGUGUGGUGUAGGUGGCGGUUGUGUGGUGGUGGUCAUUUUGUUGUUGUUGGCGGUGGUGGUGUCAAUCUCUGUAGUGGUGUGGUACAGGCGGCGAUUGUGUGGUGAUGGUCAUUUUAGUUGUUAGCGGUGGUUCUGGUGGUGUUGUGGUGAGGGUGGAUCUGUGGGUGGUGGUUAUCUGAUGUGUAGGCGGCGAUUGUGUGGUGGUUUUGUGUCUGUUUUGUUUGUGGUGAGGUAGUGCUAGUUGCAAUAUUUGAGAUGACGUGACUGUUGAAGAUGGUGGUGGUGUGAUUUUAGUGGCGGUGGUUUUGAAGAUUAUGCGACUGGUGGUGGUGGUCACAGGUGAUGGUGAUGGUUACAAAUGAUUUAAUUGUUUGCGAUCAAGAAAAUUGGCUUAUGUGACCAAUCAUUUGGUUAUUUAUGACCAACUAUUUAGUUUGGCCUAAAAAUUUAAAUAAUUUGUGAUCAAGUAAUUUGGACUCGAAAUAAUUUGUGAUCUGUAAAUUUUUUAUUUGUGACGUAUAAAAUUUUUGAUUUGUGUCCUCGAAAUAAUAUGUGACCAAUUAACUUGAUGAUACGUGAUCAAUAAAUAAGUUUGAGACUUAUAAUUAUGAACAUGUGACCAUUAUUGGUAUAAAUGUGACUUUAUUAUUUUGAAUUAAUAAAAUAUAUUUAAUUAAAAAAUGAAAACCUGAUUUUUUCAGUUUCAAAACUUUAGACACGAGAAUUGAAUAGUCAAUACCUAAUACCUUAAUUGUGAAUUUUUCCCUUAUUGUAAUUUUUGGUGAUGUAGCUAUAAAUUGAACAGAUAGGUGAAAAAAUGAUUUAUGUAUCAAACCCCAUAAUUAUUGAGAAUGUUACUAGCGUAUUGUUGUUUGCAAUUUUCUUUUCCAAAUUUCAUCAUUCCAGGUUAUUCGCCAAGUUUCUUGUGGAGCAUUUCAUGUGGUUGCUCUAUCAGAAGAUGUCUUGUGGCGUCACACGCUUGUUUCUACUAAAGACGGAAGAGUUCAUGGACGGGGUUACAAUUGUUAUGAUCAGGCUGCUAAUGAGAAAUCAACAUAUGCUUGUAAUCCUUCCCCAGUUGACUGGUGUGAUAUGGAAGAGAAUGUUCGGCUAAAGCCUAAAAAAUGUAAAUGUAAUUGAAGAAAAGUAAGCAAAGACUUUAAAAAAGGGUUUGGAAAAAAGUUACUUUUAAGCUUGUGAAUAUGCGUCUAAGCUUAAAAGUUUCUUCCAAGUACUACUUUUUUCAGGAUUAGCCAAAGAUGCUUUACAUGAAUGAGGAAGUAUGCUAAUGAAAGCCUUUUAACAGAUGCAUGUUCUUUAAAAGAAUUGUCUGAGUUUAGGGUAGCAGACAGUGUGACUCCGUCAAUUGCUUCAUUGAUUGAGGAUGUUGCGUAUAGAACUGGUCUUUGCACAAGAUUAAGGUAAUAUCAUGUUUAUUCGGAGAA